RNAcentral lists this long non-coding RNA (613 nucleotides) under Nicotiana benthamiana. RNAcentral's name for it is "long non-coding RNA (NBEN_LNC014276)". Lineage: Eukaryota; Viridiplantae; Streptophyta; Magnoliopsida; Solanales; Solanaceae. The record is from RNAcentral.
AAAGCCCAAUCUUCUUAGCCUAAUUAAUCCUAACACCUUAACCUUUCUUCCAGAUAUUCUAGAGCUCUCAUCCAUUUUUUUUAGAUACACCAACGCAUAUAUUGAGGGAUAUACGGAGGGAGGCAGGUGAAAAACAAAAUCUGAAAUCAAAUUAUCAAGCUUCACCAAAGAAAUGGAAAAGUGAGAGAUUACAAUGAGACUUAUAUAGUGAUAAGCUAAAAUUUGCUUGAAAAUUUGGGGUUAAGACAAUACAAAUGUGUCAAGUGAAAUGAAGCUCAUUUUUAGAUCGCUAUUUCAUCCUCAAUGUUUUUUAGCCUUUAUUUGGCAAUUCGGCUAUUUUCUCUGCCUAGAAACUGAGGUGAGUGUUGGAAGUUAUGGAGUUGUUGUUCGUGGUUUUGGAGCACAGUUCUGGGAGUGUUAUUUCAUACCCUGCGUUUGUAGCUAUUUUCUUCAUUCUGCUCAGACUUUCUCUUCUCCUUGUUUUCUUUGUUUGCUAUGCGUUAAGCUUGAAAUUUGUGUUUGUUUGGUCGAUAUCUUCUUUUUAAUGAUCUUGAAUGGAAGAGGAACAGAAUACUUUGUUGGUAGUUAAAAUACUACUCUUUAGUUAUUCUUU